UGUGGCUGGUGGUUCAGCAUAUCGCAUCACGUUCUCGCCUUUUACUAGAGCAUGCCGUGUAGGACCGCCAACGAAAAGUCACUUUGCGUAAUUUCUCGCCUCUCAGCCUUGACUGAAUU
Molecule: small nuclear RNA, 119 nt
Filed under: Auricularia subglabra TFB-10046 SS5
Lineage: Eukaryota; Fungi; Basidiomycota; Agaricomycetes; Auriculariales; Auriculariaceae
Description: U5 spliceosomal RNA
Rfam family: U5 spliceosomal RNA
About the family: U5 RNA is a component of both types of known spliceosome.
Source: Rfam by way of RNAcentral